This 88-nucleotide transfer RNA is filed under the name Limimonas halophila. RNAcentral's name for it is "Rhodospirillaceae bacterium Ia16 tRNA". It matches the Rfam family "tRNA". From Rfam's summary of the family: Transfer RNA (tRNA) molecules are approximately 80 nucleotides in length. Their secondary structure includes four short double-helical elements and three loops (D, anti-codon, and T loops). Lineage: Bacteria; Pseudomonadati; Pseudomonadota; Alphaproteobacteria; Rhodospirillales; Rhodovibrionaceae. The record is from Rfam by way of RNAcentral.
GGAGGGGUGGCCGAGCGGUCGAAGGCGCACGCCUGGAAAGCGUGUGUGCGGGACCCCCGCACCGAGGGUUCGAAUCCCUCCCCCUCCG